CCAGCAGCCGCGGUAAUACAGAGGUCUCAAGCGUUGUUCGGAUUCAUUGGGCGUAAAGGGAGCGUAGGUGGCGGGGUAAGUCAGGUGUGAAGUCUCGGGGCUCAACCCCGAAACUGCAUUUGAUACUGCCUUGCUUGAGUCCUGGAGAGGAGAUUGGAAUUUACGGUGCAGUAGUGAAAUGCGUAGAUAUCGUAAGGAAGACCAGUGGCGAAGGCGAAUCUCUGGACAGGUACUGACACUGAGGCUCGAAGGCCAGGGGAGCAAACGGGAUUAGAUACCCCGGUAGUCCUGGCAGUAAACGGUGCGCGUUUGGUGUGGGAGGAUUCGACCCCUUCCGUGCCGGAGCUAACGCGUUAAACGCGCCGCCUGGGGAGUACGGUCGCAAGAUUAAAACUCAAAGAAAUUGACGGGGGCCCGCACAAGCGGUGGAGUAUGUGGCUUAAUUCGAUGCAACGCGAAGAACCUUACCUGGCCUUGACAUGCAUCUCUAAGUCGGUGAAAGCCGGCGACUCUCGCAAGAGAGAAUUUGCACAGGUGCUGCAUGGCUGUCGUCAGCUCGUGUCGUGAGAUGUUGGGUUAAGUCCCGCAACGAGCGCAACCCCUGUGAACUGUUGCCACCGGCGCAAGCCGAGCACUCUGUUCAGACUGCCCUGUGAAACGGGGAGGAAGGUGGGGAUGACGUCAAGUCAGCAUGGCCCUUACGGCCAGGGCUGCACACGUACUACAAUGCUCAGCACAGAACGAACCGAGACCGCGAGGUGGAGGAAAUCUCUAAAACUGAGCCCAAUUCGGAUCGCAGGCUGCAACUCGCCUGCGUGAAGCCGGAAUCGCUAGUAAUGGCGUAUCAGCUACGACGCCGUGAAUACGUUCCCGGGCCUUGUACACACCGCCCGUCACAUCAUGGAAGUUACUUGUACCCGAAGCACGUGCGCUAACCGCAAGGAGGCAGCGUUCUAAGGUAUGAGUGGUAACUGGGAUGAAGUCGUAACAAGGUAACCGUA
RNAcentral lists this ribosomal RNA (1001 nucleotides) under uncultured Verrucomicrobiota bacterium. RNAcentral describes it as "bacterial SSU rRNA". It matches the Rfam family "Bacterial small subunit ribosomal RNA", at positions 508 to 1504 of the family's 1533-position model. The record is from RNAcentral. Lineage: Bacteria; Pseudomonadati; Verrucomicrobiota.